Molecule: long non-coding RNA, 13315 nt
Filed under: Nicotiana tabacum (common tobacco)
Lineage: Eukaryota; Viridiplantae; Streptophyta; Magnoliopsida; Solanales; Solanaceae
Description: long non-coding RNA (NTAB_LNC017500)
Source: RNAcentral
UCUGAAAAUACACCCAACCCUAGCCGCCCCUUCUCCUUUACUAUCUCAUUCACACCCACUCUUUCUCGCAGAGAACAUACACUCUUUCCUUCUCGUUUCUCUCUAAUUUCGUCAACACACACACGCAAUUCAGGGAGCUAAAGGAAAAAUCAUAGACACACCUAGAUAGAAAAAGAAAAACUCUACCUAUUUCUAAAAUUUCAAUAAUCUGGAUAUUUGGCAAGCUAAAACGGGAUCCCAAGCUAUUUCAGUUUCAAUUCAUCUACACUUUUUUUUUUGAAAAUUCAAAUGACUUAUUGAGCUGUGAAAUACUGUCUGACUACUGAUUUGCCGGGUCAUUGUUGCUGAGCUACUCGCGUAUCUUUUCUGGCCUUUAUUUGUCUAUUUUGAAAUCUUCACUAGGCUGUUGAGGUAUGAACUUGAUUUUCAGUCAUGUAAUUAUUUGAUUGGAUGUUGUAAUGGCAUGAAUUUGCAAUAAUCUUUUCUCUGUUUCAUGUGUUCAAAAUGUUUUCUAUUAUCACCUGCCAAACUAAUUUAAUUUUGAACUACUCGGGUACAUGAAAGUAGUACAGAUUCAUGUAGAAAAGGUACUAUGAUGUUUGCACAAGCAUUCAUAUUGCAAUUAAUCCGUGCUCCACAUGAACAUGACUGUUUAUUUAAAGUAUGAUUUGAAAGUGAAAUUUUUAGGUUAAUUCGAGAAUAUAAAAACAAUCAGCAUCAAUCCAAGAAUUUGAUUAGUGUUAAAUGGACUUGGAAUGAUAAAACAGGGGUGAAAGAGGCAAUUCAUGUUUUCUUAAUCAUAUUAUUUGUCACCAAGUUUUUGUCCUUUCCUGUUAAAGGUUCAAAUAAGCAUUAUUCAUGAAAUUGGGCGCACGUACACUGAUUUCCCCAAAACAAUUCCAUAAGUGAUAGCCCUAUACAUUAAUCUCAAACUUUAGGAAAAAUAAAUAAUUCUUUGAAUAUCGUAGCUUGCUUUAGACGCGAUUAAUAAAUUAUCGUGGUCAUGGGUACGGUUCUCGUGGCAUGGUCACAAUACAUAAAUCCCAAUUCGAGUGCGCGUUUCACGCGACUUCACCCUAACUUCAAAUAAUAAUAAAAUAAAUAUGUUGUGAAUCACAGGUGCAUUUCACGUGACACGAUUUACAAUAUGUACAAAAAUGAGUGAGCGACAUCGCGACUCGUUCAAAUAAAUUCUAUAAACAUUAAAGCGGUUAAUUAAUUAAAAGCGGUUAAAAGUUAAAAAUACACAAUAGAUAUUAAACAUGUAAUAAAUUAGAUAAUUAGGAUAAUUAUUAAUAGUUGAGCGACCGUGCUAAAACCACGAAACUCGGGAGUGCCUCACAUCUUCUCUCGGGUUAACAUAAUUUUUUACCCGAUCUUUUGUGUUCGCGGACCACGAAUAAGAGUCAAUUUUCUCGAUUUGGGAUUUUAAAUAAACAGUGACUUGGUACACCAUAAAUUAUUCCAAGUAGCAACUCUGAUUUAAUAAAUAAUCCAAUUUUGAUUAAUGUCACUUUAAUUGGAAAAACUCCCUAUUCCCAUAUCCUCUCGGAAAAAAGGAGGUGUGACAGCUCUGGCGACUCUGCUGGGGACUGGACCCAGAAUCUCUGGUUCAGGGUUCAGAAUUUGAGCUUAAAAUAACUAUUAUAUUCGACUACUUGUGAUUGUCUGAUAUUACUUGUUUGAGUCUAAUGUGCUAAUUGCCGCUUUUUACUGUUUUGAUAUUAUUUGAAUUGUAUAUAAAACUGUUACGAUACCCUCCUUCUCUCUAAGUUUUCUAAAUCUUCUAGGAAGUGCACGUUGGCGUGACUUCUUUUCUAUUAGUGUCAUACCCUAAUUUAGAAUGAGGAUCAGAUCAGUUACAAAGCCGGAUGGCCUUUUGGUUACCGGUACGUUGCCCCCCUCGGCUCGAGUUGUCCGCUCGGGUAAGCCAGGUCUAGAACAAUACACCCAGGAUUUAAACUUAGAAGAACAUAGCCUCAUGCCUGAUCUCUAGUAGGUACGCUUGUUUGCAUCACGUGUAUUUGACUUUGGGGACUCAACACAUGGGUUGAGUCCGUCUAGGACAGGUGUACCAAAAUUAAAAGACCACCCUGAUGCAUCUUACAUGCUACUUGUGUAUUUAUUUGAUCUGGUUUGUAUGUUGACCGAUUUUUAGAAUAUGGAAAUAAAAUUGGAAAAAAAACUAAGAGAGGGAGAAUAAGAGAGUGAAAUUCACCUGAUUCCCAUACAAUCCAUGUGUUAAAAAAUCGAAUUCUGUCUGAUUUUACUCCAAAUGUGUUGAAAAUAUACUAAGAUUUUGAAAUAUUCCCCGCUUUUGACCGAACUACGCGGGUUUGAUUCUCACCGGAUGUGAGAUACGUAGGCAAACCUCAUCGGUUCCGGCCCAUAAUUUUUAAAAAUUCAAAAAUAUUUUCCUUUACUUCCUUAGAAAAGUCUUUCUUUGAGACCCCAAUUUUAAAAAAAAAAAAUCCAAAAAUAUUUUCUUUUAAUUUCUUAUAAAAAUCCAAAACUAUUUUUAUUCUUCUUCAGAAGUUUUUCUUUCGAAAAUUAGAAAAGAAAAUUCAAGAUUCAAAAAUAUUUUCUUUUUUUUCUUUAGAAGUCUUUUCUUUCAUGAAUUCAAAAUAAAAGUCCAAAAAUCCAAAAAAUAUUUCCUUUCUUCUUUAGAAGUUUUUCUUUUAAAAUUCCCAAAACAAAAAAAAAUAUAUAGAAGUUCAAAAAAAAAAAAUUCUUCCUUCAUAGAAGUCUUUCUUUCAAAGAAAAAAAAAAACAACAAAAAUUCAAAAAUAUGUUUUUUUUCUCUUUUUUGGAAGUCUUUCUCCCAAAAUUCAAAAACAAAAACAAAAACAAAAGCCAAAAAGAUUUUUCUUUCUUAUGUAGAAGUCCUUCUUUCGAAAAAAAAGAAAAUAAGUCGAAAUCCAAAAAUAUUUUCUUUCUUCUUUAUAAUCUUUCUUGAAAUUAAAAAAAAAUUAUUAGUUUAUUUCCUUUAUUCCUGAUCUUCCCGAACUACGCAUACCUAAUUCUCGUCUUUCAAGGCGGGAUACGUAGGCAACCCACUUAGGGUCCAGUCUUCCUAGUGAGUCUUAAGUUCUUGGCUUCGGUGGUCGUAGCCAAAUCUUGCAUGCCUAGCCACGUUUGGCCACAUCGAUCAUUUUGUAAAAUAAGGCUAUUUUUUCAAAGUGGUUUGUUAACACAUGUCUUAGAGUCCUAAGUCCACAACAAGAUGUCUCUCAUUUUAAGGUCCAUUCUUGUUGAAUUUGCAUGCUUAGCCAUUUUUCGGCCACAUAGGCCAUUUCUGCAAAGUAGAGUCUUUUUUGCAAAGCAAUUUUAGGGACCGCGAUUCCUGAGAGUUUAUGGGCCUUCGUGAGAUGGUUUGGAUCCACUUACUAGAGGUUGAGCAUGACAGACGCCCUAGGACCAUCCCAUUUAGGAUCGUUGCCUUCAGAAGUUGUUUGAGGAGACUUUAUAUUUUUGAGUCUGUUUUCAUAUUUUCUUUUACUUUCUGGUCUUGUCUAGUAGUAUUGAGUCUUGUAGGUGGUGUCAGAGUCUGUCAUAGUCUAGCUGAGUCUGUCAUAUUUUUUUUGUCAUCGUACUUCCCAUUUUGUAUUUGAAAACCAAAAAAAGUUAUAAACGAAAAAAUCCAAAAAGAUUUUUGUUUUUAGUUUAUUUUGUCCAUCACUUUUUCAGAACUAUGCUUGGUCUGAUUUUCACCGGAUGUGAGAUACGUUGGCAACCUACAUCGGGUUCGAUCGAAUUAUUUUCAAAAGAAAAAAAGAGGUAUUCCAAAAUAAAGGUUGACUCGUGACAAGUUUGGAGUUGAACAAACACUAUUCCAAUACUAUUCAACCAAAAGCAAUUUUGGCCAGAAAUGAUAACUCAUGUACUUUCAAGACCAUUCCCAUCUUCUUUCAAUCCAUCUUCACAUCAAAAGAUAACAUAGACCAUGUACCACUCGAUACAAACCGUCACUUCCCUCCCUGCCUUGACCCUUUUUGAACACUUCAAGGUCUUGAUUAAUUAAAAGGAUUCAUUGAGCUGAUUCAAAAUGGAGGAUAUCAAUGUCCCUUGGUCUCACAUGCCAAUAAUAGCCUACGACCUUAUCCAAAGGACUCAAGAAUAGUGCAGAUCUCAAUCCUUUUUCGUGCCAAAGGGACUUGUUUGUGGUUUUAAUUUGGUCAUUCUUUCGAAUAGACCUGUUCAAUCAGAGGUUUUGGAUCGUGUUUUUCUUUGUCUUGUUCAACCCCCAUGUCCUUUUCACCUUUCUCUCUUAAAUGAAAUCUUUUACCCAUUCCCCAUUGUUAUUGCAUUUUCUCAUUCACAUUCAUUACAGUUCAUCAUCUUCUAGCCUAAUUAAUGUGACAUGUGUCUUGACGAGUGGCAAGGUUUAGACAUCAGCACAAGCUUUCAGGUGAUGAGUUAUAAAAUAAUGAAGUUCCGAGGGAAAAGAUGAUAAUGAAUUUCACAUUUAGGAAGAAACAAGUUUUUGAGCUAAUGAUAAGCAUCUUAAGGGCUCAAUUGAAGAGAGAAUUUGCAAGUAGAAUCUAAAGAAAUUUUAGUUCUAUCCUCCAGAUGUAUGUUAAUCCUUCAGGAUGUUCCAGGUAAAAUCAGUGUGAACCAUGUCUUGAGUUGGCAUUUUUAGAGUUGAAAUGACGAAAGGCUAUCUUUCUGCUAUCCAAACACUAAUACCAUUUGUUAGCCCUUUGAGCCUUAAUAUAUUUGUCUUUUAUUGGCAACCCUCUUUUGGAAUCAAGUAUUUGUUAAGGCUUAAAAUGGUCCCGGUUUGAAUUUAAUAUUCAAAAAAAAAAAUGAAAAAAAAAUAGAGAGAUCCUCUUACCAUGUAGUUCUUUGAACUACGUUCGACCUGAUUCUUAUUACCACAAGAUACGUAGGCAGCCUUACGGUUCGGUCACACCAAAUAAAAUAUUUCAUAAUCCCACGAAGUCAAGAGCGGGGCAGUUUUUUAGAAAUUCCAUCUCAAAAAGAAAAGAAAAAGAAAAGUAAAAGGAAAAAAAAGAAAAAAAAAGAAGAAAAAAACUCAAAUUCUCUUGUUUCAAAAACUGGGGCAAAGUUUUUAAAAUGGAUUCCAAAAGUUGUAAAUAAAGUAACCUUGUCAUUAUAAUUUUGAGCCUCCAUGUGGUCCUUUCUUUCUUACCCUGUCCAAAAGCCUUCAUUACGGUCCAAAUAAAAGUCCUUAUCAGAUCGAUUCCUGAAAAUAUCAAGUCAAGCAUGUUGUGAGCUUAUCAAGAUUUUUGUGAAAAUUAAUACGAUUGAAGGGGUAGUCAAUUAGCCAAGCUAUGAAUGAAAAGCGGCAUUGAAUGAGAGCAAAGAGGAAAAUGAGAGACUUGUUGGUGAAAAUCUUUCGAGGCACUACAAGUUGAAAUGGUGAGAUAUGUGUGCAACAAAAUGUCUUUGAUUAAAACAUGCAAUAUCUGUGGCACAUUUGGAGGAGCAAAGUAGAUCAACUCUUCAACAUCAGGUAAGGAUUUGACGAGUCAACAAGUUUGGAAAGAUGGACAAAUCAAGUUAUUGGUCUAAACACAUGACACAUUCAUUUGCCUUAUUCUUCAAUUUAGAUAAGCUCUCCUUCUUCUAAGUGGAAUCUCAUCAUACACCACUUUUUUUGAUUUUUACUUGUGCAUUUAUUCUUCUUCUUUUUCUCAAGAUAAGCAAGAAAGAAUUUUCAAAUUUUCCAUAAAUAGGUCCCAAAUUAGAAAGGGAGGUGAUCAAUUUGACAAUCAAUGUAAAGAGACGCUCAAUUCGGCAAUCCAAGUAAAAGAGAAAUAACUUGUUUGGCAGUACAACUAAAAUAAAUUAAUUAAUUUUGGGAAUUUGAGUGAAGUGACGUGAACAAACUUGAUCGAAUCCCAUGGGAAAAUCACUCUGGAUCUUCUUCGAAACCAAUGAAAAUGAACCCUAGCAAGCCAAGUCAAAUAAUAAUGCUUAAAAGUCAACUUGCAAGUUUGUCACGAGUCAACCAAUUAUUUUUAAUUAAAAAAAAAAGGAAAAAAGAGAAAACAAAAUCAUGUAUUUGUUUUAAUUGAAGCAUAGGCUGUUUGAGAAUCUCAUUACCCUCGGAUAUUUUUUUAGUUGAGAAGAACCAUACCUCCUAGGUAUUACCCCUAGUUGAAAAGAAUCUUUAGCUUUCUUUAAGUUCAGGGGUCCUGCCUGGAAAAUAGGAUCAGUUUUUAUUCUAGUCAAGCUCAGUUUACAGUUUUCCUCAGGCUCAAUCUCAUAUAUAGGAGACGCACUUCCUAGUUUGAGUUAUUCAGUUUCUAGGAGAUGCACUUCCUAGUUCAAGUUUCACCCCUAGGAGACGCACUUCCUAGUCUGGGUCUUUCAGAUCAUUCUUUUAGGAGACGCACUUUCUAAAUUGAGAUUUCACUUCUAGGAGACGCACUUCCUAGUUUGGGUAGUUUGAAUUCAUCCUUAGGAGACACACUUUCUAGUUUGGGUAGUUUGAGUUCAUCCUUAGGAGACGCACUUCCUAGUUUGGAUCAUUCAAGUGUCACCCCUAUGAGGCGCACUUCCUAGUUUGGGUCAUUCAGGUUUUAUUUUUAACAGACGCAUUUGCUAGUCAAAAUUUCUUGGUUUUACUCACAGGAGAUGCACAUCCUAGUCGAGUCUUUAGUUUUAGUCUCAUCAUUGCAUCCUUCAUCGAAAGCAUAGGUGAUUUACAAUUUUGCUAACAACUCACAAAUCUUCCUAGUGCAAACUGGGGCAGAAAAUUUUGUUUGUUUUGUUUGUUUUGUUUAUUUUGAUUGCAGGCACCUACCUGGAGUACAAGGGGGAAUAUUUCAGCAAUCGUUUUUAGGUUCAAGUCAGAAGUACCAGGAGCCUACCUGAAGAACAUGGUCAACUUUUAGUUUUCAAGUUACAUGUCAGUAGCAGGCGUCCACCUGGAGAAUGAGGGAAUUUAUUUUAAGUUUCAAGUCAUUAGCAGGCGCCCACCUGGAGAAUGAGGAAAUUUAUUUCAAGUUUCAAGUCAUUGGCAGGCACCCACCUGGAGAACGAGAGAAUUUAUUUCAAGUUUCAAGUCAUUGGCAGGUGCCCACAUGGAUAAUGAGGGAAUUUAUUUCAAGUUCAAGUCAUUGCCAGGCGCCCACCUGGAGAAUGGGGGAAUUUAUUUCAAGUUCAAUGCAUUAGCAGGCGCCCACCUGGAGAAUGAGGGAAUUCAUUUUAGUUUUACGCAGCAGGCAGGCGCCCACCUGGAGAAUGAGAGAAUUUAUUUCAAGUUCAAGGCAUUAGUAGGGGCUCACCUGGAGAAUGAGGGAAUUCAUUUUAAGUUCAAGGCAUUAGCAGACGCCCACUUGGAGAAUGAGAGAAUUCAUUUUAAGUUUCAAGUCAUUAGCAGGCGCCCACCUGGAGAACGAGGGAAGUCAUUUCAGAAUUCACUUAGAGUUCGAGUUAGAGGCACCAGGAGCCCGCCCGAAGAAUAUGAUCAACUUUCAAUUUUCAAGUUCAAGUUAGAGAGGCAUCAAAAGCCCGCCUGAAGAACAGGGUCAACUUUCAAUUUUCAAGUUCAAGUUAGAGAGGCAUCAGGAACCCACCUGAAGAACAUGGUCAACUUUCAAUUUUCAAGUUCAAGUUAGAGAGGCAUCAGGAGCCCGCCUGAAGAACAGGGUCAACUUUCAAUUUUAAUGUUCAAGUUAGAGAGGCAUCAGGAGCCCGCCUGAAGAACAGGGUCACUUUUUAAUUUUCAAGUUCAAGUUAGAGAAGCAUCAGGAGCCUGCCUGAAGAACAAGGUUAAUUUUCAGUUUACAAGUUCAAGUCGGAGAGGCAUCAGGAGCCCACCUGAAGAACAGGGUCAACUUUCAGUUUAAGUUCAAGUUAGAGAAGCAUCAGGAGCCCGCCUGAAGAAUAGGGUCAACUUCCAGUUUUCUUCAAAUUCAAGUCAGCAGGAUACCCGCCUGAAGAAUGGGGUGAAUUUUCAGUUUCAUGUUGAAAGAUCAAGUGGAGAUUCAAGGAAUAUUCAAGACAAGAAGUAGAUAGGACCUUGUAUUUUUAUUUUAUUUUUGAUGUAAUAUUUUCUUUCAAUUUAUGAUGUAAUGGCAGGGACCGCGGACCGGAGCCUCGAACGGUACCUCACUCGACUCUCUCAUCCUCUUCACACACUCCAUCACUUCAUUCACUUCUGAACUACACGUGGCCUGAUUCCUUUAUAGCCAAAGAUAUGUAGGCAGCUCAGAUAUCAAGACUCGGUCACAAUCAUUUUGAAUAAGUGUCGGGUCAGAAAUCAAUUACAUCGCUUACUUGAUUCUUUGCUCAAAAACACUUCGUGUUUCCAAGCAAAGAGGGGCAGCUGUAAGCACGUAAUUUUUGACCCGCACAACUUUUAAAAGUAGUAUUUCAAAAAUAUUUGUUUAUUUUUAUUUUUAAUAGGAUUUCAGUCAACUUUUAGUUUUAAUUUUAAAACAUAAGUUUGAAAACACAAAAAUAGUUUUAUAACGUUUAUUUAGCUUAUUAGUAUUUUAUAACAUUUAAAAAAAAUCAAAAAUAUUUUUAUUUUAAUAUAUAGUUCUCUUUAAUAAUGUAUUCUUAUUAACUAAUGUUAAUUAGCAUAUUUUGGUAGUAUUUUUAUUUUUAUUUUUAUUCAAUGAGAAAGAAUUGAAUUUGGGCCAAUUGGGAGCUCAUUUUCAGAUUUUAGUUGCCUAGCAAGAUAAAGGUCCAUUCUUCCAAAUCCCAUUUAGUCCAAAUUCUUUUCUCACCCAUCAAACCCCCAUUAAUCAUAGCCAUCGAUCUACUCUCAUCCAAUGACCCAUAUCCCAUCUAUCCACAAUAUAAAAACAUAAUGAAAAACUAAAUAAAGGAGGAGCUAACCUAAUUCCUAAGGCUAGAAUGAACAGACCCCUUUUUCUGAAAAUACACCCAACCCUAGCCGCCCCUUCUCCUUCACUCUCUCAUUCACACCCACUCUUUCUAGCAGAGAACAUACACUCUUUUCUUCUCGUUUCUCUCUAAUUUCGUCAACACACAUACGCAAUUCAGGGAGCUAAAGGAAAAAUCAUAGACACACCCAGAUAGAAAAAGAAAAACUCUGCCUAUUUCUAAAAGCUCAAUAAUAUGGAUAUUUGGCAAGCUAAAACGGGAUCCCAAGCUAUUUCAGUUUCAAUUCAUCUACACUUUUUUUUUUUGGAAAUUCAAAUGACUUAUUGAGCUGUGAAAUACUGUCUGACUGCUGAUUUGCCGGGUCAUUGUUGCUGAGCUCCUCACGUAUCUUUUCUGGACUUUAUUUGUCUAUUUUGAAUCUUCAAUGGGCUGUUGAGGUAUGAACUUGAUUUUCAGUCAUGUAAUUAUUUGAUUGGAUAUUGUAAUGCCAUGAAUUUGCAAUAAUCUUCUCUGUUUCAUGUGUUCAAAAUAUUUUCCAUUAUCACCUGCCAAACUAAUUUAAUUUUGAACUACUCGGGUACAUGAAAGUAGUACAGAUCCAUGUAGGAAAGGUGCUAUGAUGUUUGCACAAGCAUUCAUAUUAUAAUUAAUCCGUGCUUCACAUAAACAUGACUGUUUAUUUAAAGUAGGAUUUGAAAGUGAGAAUUUUAGGUUAAUUUGAGAAUAUAAAAGCAAUCAGCAUCAAUCCAAGAAUUUGAUUAGUGUUAAAUGGACUUGGAAUGAUAAAACAGGGGUGAAAGAGGCAAUUCAUGUUUUCUUAAUCAUAUUCUUUGUCACCAAGUUUUUGUCCUUUCCUGUUAAAAUUUCAAAUAAGCAUUAUUCAUGAGAUUGGGUCGCACGUACACUGAUUUCCCCAAAACAAUUCCAUAACUCAUAGACCUAUACAUUAAUCUCAAACUUUAGGAAAAGUAAACAAUUCUUUUGAACACCGUAGCUUGCUUUAGGUGCGAUUAAUAAAUCAUCGUGGUCAUGGGUACGGUUCUCGUGGCAUGGCCAUGAUACAUAAAUCUCAAUUCGAGUGCGCGUUUCACGCGACUUGACCCUAACUUCAAAUAAUAAUAAAAUAAACAUGUUGUAUUUUACAUGACGUGAUUUGCAAUAUGUACAAAAACGAGUGCGCGACAUCGCGACUCGUUCAAAUAAAUUCCAUAAAUAUUAAAGCGGUUAAUUAAUUAAAAGCAAUUAAAAGUUAAAAAUACACAAUAGAUUUUAAACAUGUAAUAAAUUAGAUAAUUAGGCCAAUUAUUAAUAGUUGAGCGAUCGUGCUAAAACCACGGAACUCGGGAGUGCCUCACAUCUUCUCUCAGAUUAACAGAAUUCCUUACCCGGUCUUCUGUGUUUGCGGACCACGAAUAAGAGUUAAUUUUCUCGAUUUGGGAUUUAAAAUAAACGGUGACUUGGGACACAAUAAAUUAUUCCAAGUGGUGACUCUGAUUUAAUAAAUAAUCUCAUUUCGAUUAAUGUCACUUUAAUUGAAAAAACUCUCUAUUCCCAUAUCCUCUUGGGAAAAAGGAGGGGUGACAAAUCUUUCAACAGAGACAACCUCACGAUCGGAGGCAGCAAGAACGACAUUUUGGACUUCAACCCAUUUGGCCGUAGUUUCUUCAAAUUGUGCCCUUAACGGGGAAAUCUACUAGCUAAGGGUUACCACUUCUUGCUCGCUUUGCUGCAACCGAGCCUCCAAUUCAACGGCCUCAGCAGCUCGUGCUUCCAGUUCUAAGAGACGAGCAGCAUUCUGGUCUCGCUCGGCCAAAAGUUGAUCCCGUUGGGAGGUAAGUUCCUCCUUAUCACGAAUAAGCCUUUGAACGCCCUCGGAAGUAAGGAAGUUGGCCUACAAAACAAAAAUACAAAUUCAAAAUCCUACCAUAACAAAGAUAGAAGAAAUAACGACGGAAACAAAGAAUAUACCAUUGUUGUGUUAUGCAUGGCGUUGUUCAAUAAACACUCUCCCGGGAGAGUUUGUAUCUUAUCCCUAUCUUUUUCUGAAGCCAAAGGCAUCAGAUAGUUAGCAAGCUCUACCGGUCGGGAUAACAGAUGGCUUCCGUCAAAGACCGAGAGGGUAAUGUUUCUCCUCCUUUGGGGAUCUUCGGAGGAGACAACAUAUUUUUUCCCCAAAUUCCCAUGAAUUGGGGACUGGGAAAGAGGGACAUCCGCCUCUCAGGCAGCUAGGGUCGGUGGAGAUGAUGUAGCAGUUGCUGAUGGCGAAGGAAGAGUUGGAGAAGAGGGAGAUGAAGUAGAUGGCAUUUUAGGAUGAGAAGUGGCUACGACAAAUACAGUGUUGGUUGUUGGUUUCUCGUCACCGAAGACGGAAGGGACCCAGUACUCAACCUCAUAGUAUCGGGCGCGACAACUGGGACUCAGAAGCGAGAGUUAGCAUCUUCCACCAUAUCGAACUCCCCCUAGAGUGCCGAAACAUCAUCCUCGGUUGGUGUAACUAGCUCAACAGAUUGAGCAUUCUGUUGAGCUGAUGAAGGUCGUCGUCUUCUAUGUGGAGAAGCCCCCUCAUCAAUGGCUUCUCCAUCAUCGUUAAUUACCACAGUUUCUGGAGUCGGCUUGGGUGCGGCGCUCAUUUCUACGACAUCCGGGGAUGGCUCAUGCGCUUCAUUCUUUACUUUUUUGUUCUUUCCCCCGGUAGCGGAGGAGCGUCGUCUUUUUGGUUGCUUGUUCUCCAGCCAGGGACUCCGAGAAGAAGCACUUGUACCAUAAGCAGGCUUGGAGACACCUAUUCGGGUAAAAGCCUCCUACAGCAGCCUCGUCGCAUCAGUAGUAUUAGCCAAAACGUCUUCCUCAAGAAUGACAAUUAAGCCCUGGGGUAGAUCUGAAUUUAGCAAGAGAAAAAGGGUUAAUCAACUUUCUUAUACGAAAGGGAAGACAAGAUGAGUUUAACCUACCAUGAUUUUUGGCCUUCCACUCAUAUUUAAUGGCUAGUUCUUUUCACGUACGGGUCUCGGGCAUAGUAACAUCCAAAAUCUUUUGGACCCACUAGUCCAAACCUUCGACCAUCGGUAGAACCCACCGAGUUAUUGAAACAAAUGAAAGAAGAAGAAUCAAUAUCAGCAUGGGAUGAUCUUUAGCUAGAGGAACAAACGAUGAACUUACGAGUACGGCUCCACAAUUCCGGAAAGGAUGAAGCCGUGGCCGGAAUGAUAUCCCCGGUGACAAUUGCAACGAACCAUUCCAUCCACCCAGGGUCGUUGUCAUCAUCCAUGCUAGCUAGCAGAGUAUAGUUGCCACGUUUGCUGAAAUUUAUAAUUUCCCCACAAAAAAUCUUGGGGGAAUAGAGGUUCAUUAAUCGAUCUAGGGUUAACUCCUUUUCCGUCUCCUGGCACUGACGCAGAAGACAAGUGAUUGUCCUUUACACAAAAGGACUUACUUGUGCCAGGCAUACCUGGUAACGGAUGCAGAACUCCAUAAUAACAGAGUCAAGUUUCUCACUCAAAGAGAACGACCCCAAAGUGAAGGGAUACGUAUAAAAAUACGUAAAACCCUUCUUGGGCAAAGUUAUCCGCUCUGCCAGAUCAUGAGCGAUAAUGUCUAAAUCUUGGCAAUGGCAGUCUUCCUUCACAGCAUGAAUACUAGAAGGACGGAUGGAAGAAGGGUACACGCCAAUGGCCCACGUGCGAGGGUUAGCAGAAGGAUACUUCUCUUCGAAGUCUUUAGUUGUGACAAGAAUUCUUGGGAUGAUGAUGCUCACCGUAGGAGGAGCAUCAUUAUCAGCUUUACCUUUAUUUUUUGAAGAUCUAAGGUUUUUUGAAGAAGAAGCCAUUUUUAUCAGAAAGGAAGGAAGGAUUUUUCUGGAGAAGAAGGUUAAAGAAAGGUUGAAAACAAAGUACGAGUUGAGUACAGAGAGUUUGAGAAAGUUUGGAUAAUUAUGAAGUGUAAAUGAAGAAAUUUGAUGUGUAUAAGUAAAGGAAUAUGCGGCUAAAAUUGUAGCCAUAAUUACCUCGAUAACGGGCAAAAGUGAUGCUAAAUUGUGGGAUGACGCAUGUUCGGGGCAUUAAAUACGGAGAUACGUGCGUCUAAUUAACUGUCAGAAACUUUUCAGAAGGGGUCAGAGAAUUUUCCGCCAAAAAAGGUAUCUCUACCAACUUCCUUGUGACAAAAAGUUAUGCCACUAGAAAGCGGGGGUACUAUCUGUAUGGGGUAAAAUAUAUUCAUAUUUGAUGUACACAUAAGAAAGUGACAGUGGAGCCAAAGACAGAAGACAGUCGGGCCCAAGGACAGUGAUCUUGCUUGUUAUCGGAUAGAAUAAUAUUCAUAAAGGUGAAGUACAUGCCUACCACCUGGUAGCAUUUAAUGAAGAAUAUUCUAUAGUAUUAAGUGCAUGGCUCGUUGCAGAGAAUAAGGCAUUUAUUGCCUACCGUUACACACUCUUCAAUGGCCCGCAUAAUUAUCAUUUAAGAGGGGUUUGAUCCUAGAACCUUGUUCC